RNAcentral lists this ribosomal RNA (256 nucleotides) under uncultured bacterium. RNAcentral describes it as "partial 16S ribosomal RNA". It matches the Rfam family "Bacterial small subunit ribosomal RNA", at positions 1244 to 1500 of the family's 1533-position model. The record is from RNAcentral.
GAGAAGCAAAGCCGCGAGGUAGAGCAAAUCUCAAAAAAACAUCUCAGUUCAGACUGCAGGCUGCAACUCGCCUGCACGAAGUCGGAAUUGCUAGUAAUCGUAGGUCAGCAAACUACGGUGAAUACGUUCCCGGGCCUUGUACACACCGCCCGUCAAACCAUGAGAGUUGGCAACACCCGAAGUCGGUAGUCUAACCGCAAGGAGGACGCCGCCGAAGGUGGGGUUGAUGAUUAGGGUUAAGUCGUAACAAGGUACC